Long non-coding RNA from Gadus morhua (Atlantic cod), 2763 nucleotides. NCBI's taxonomy places the organism in Eukaryota, Metazoa, Chordata, Actinopteri, Gadiformes, Gadidae. The record is from Ensembl.
AUGACAACGCAAACACCACCAACAGUUGAAGAACUCACCGAAAGUGACAGUGAAGAACAACUUUCAGCGACAAUGACAAGAAGGAGAAAAGUAAAAACAGCUGUUUACUCUGGAGAUGAAAGUGAUGACACAAAUGAAGGAGAUUUCAAAAUUACAAUUCAACCAUCACCAACAGUUGAAGAACUCACCGAAAGUGACAGUGAAGAACAACUUUCAGCGACAAUGACAAGAAGGAGAAAAGUAAAAACAGCUGUUUACUCUGGAGAAGAAAGUGAUGACACAAAUGAAGGAGAUUUCAAAAUUACAAAUCAACCAUCACCAACAGUUCAAGAACUCACAGAAAGUGACAAUGAAGAAGAACAAAUUUCGGAGACAAAGGGAGAAGAGCACACAAAAAAAAAUGAUAAAGAGGACACGUACAGGACGUGCGUAGUCGGUCCAAAAGAAUUCAAAUUUAAGGUCGCAAGAAAAAAUUGGAUAAAAAUAAAGCCGGAAAAGGGAAAAAGACAACUGAGACCCCCAUGGACCGAUAUAUUCUACAAUGAAUUUAGAAAAAGCAACCCAUCGUGCACAUUGGCCUUUAAGUACCAAAAUAUUAGAACACGUGACAGCCGGAAAAAAAAAUCACCAUACCUCCGCGCCACAGCCAAGUGCACGUUUGAAGGUUGUGAGGCGGUUUACACUUUCACCAGGAAAGGCCCACCAAAAUACAACGCAAAAAAGAUUACUGUCAUGGUGACACGGUUUGGGGAAGUCAAACACCUUAAGUCUCAGAGAAAAUGUAGGCCUGCAAGAUACCUCAGGAGAGGAAAAAUAGCAAAAGCAGUAAAAAGUGGUGUGAGCAACUGCUAUUACGAAUUGCUGAAAAACACACCUGUGGAGGAGAUCAUGGCUGGUAACAUAACCAGAAGCCUCACAAAAGACGUGUUAAAAAUCAUAUCUUACGAGAUCAGAAGCGUUGCAAGGCUUCACAAUGACCAAUUGUUGGAGCUAAUGCUCACUCAGAGGAUUAUCAGAGAGAGUGGUCGGCAAACUCGGCAUGCAUCAUCGAACGGCUAUCUGCAGCUCCUCCAGAUUGACCCUUUUGCAACCCACUUAUACACUGAUGCGGGCCUGCAAAUUUUGGCUGAACAUUUGAGAGGACCCAUGCCCACUACCCUAUACCUCGAUGCAACAGGUGGGGUAGUUCAGAAAGUACCCCAUCAGUCAAAAAGAGUUCUCUAUUAUGCCCUGGUUCUGCCUGGAAUGGGCAAGGACAAGCCGCCUUUGCCAGUCGCGGAGUUCGUGACUAACAGCCAUAGUGUUCCAUCAAUAUCGCACUGGCUUAUGGAGUUCAAUAGGAGGCUGUCCCACAUUACCGGGAGAAAAAUUGCACAAAUAGAGACAGAUUACAGCUGGGCGUUGAUGAACAGUGUGCUCAUCUCUUUUAACCACGAGGAUGUCUCUGCAUACCUUUGCAGAGCAUUCGAAAUUGUGUCGGGACAACUCAAAGUCAUUCCAAAAUUCACUGUGCUCCAUUUGUGCUCUGCACAUAUACUUAAGGCAGUCUCCCAGGCCUUUGGGAGAACAACCAGUGACAGAGGCAUAAAGGAGUAUGCAACAUACAGUUUUGCAUACCUGCUGAACUGUACAAGCUUGCCAGAAGCACUUGAGGUUUUCUACCACAUGUGUGUGCUGUUUGAUGCAGAACAGCACACAGACUCAAUCAAUACCAGUGAAAGGUACCUGAAUGGCUGCAUUUUGCAGAGUCAACACAUGGAUAUUGAGGAAACACAAGAGGGGAGCAGGAUCUGUGAUUCCAGUGACCCUUCCAAUGGCAUUCUCGCAAGGUCCCCCUUCAUGCAGGCUUUUGACCUAAGAAGGGAGCAAGCCACAUGUGACGUCCUGUCUGAUGAGGAAGCAGACAAAAACAACAACUACCACUGCCCAGGUAUAAUAAAUGUCUUGCUUAAGACAUACAUGGGCAUCUUUCCCUUGUGGAGUGGUGUACUACUCGCUGAUCUAUCGAGGCACUCUAAAGGAUCUAUCACAAGAGGAACAGGGUGCAAAACACGGGAAACCAACUGCCAUGUCGAACUAUGGUUUAGGUUGGUGAAACACAGCAUUCUGUGCAAAAGAAAAUACCUCAGACCUGCAGAGUUUGUCUCUAAAAUGUUUGCCUCAGUGCAGGGGAGGUAUGUUGAACAUGUGAUUCAACAAAGCCUGCCAAUUGAUGUACUUCAGAGAAACCUUCAAAGCUCUGUUAAGCUGGAAGAUGACCCAGAAGAGCAAUGGUGUAAGAGGGACACCUCUUCUGGCAGUUCAAAGCGCAAGUCAAAAUAUUUCAAUCCUCCAAAAAACAUUCCAAACCCCAAGACCAAGACCAAAAGCAAGAAGAUCAUAAAAGUGGAGCAGAAUCAACGGGUUGAAGAUGCACAAUUAAACUUGCUGUGGAAAAAGAGGGGAACAGAGAUAAUUGUUGCAACCCUGCCAUCCCAAGUGAAGGGUCGGAGCCUCUUCAUCCACCACACUGAUCUACGGUGUCUACGACCCCACCUGUGGUUGACAGGAGAGGUAGGCGUAUUAAAAGCUCUUCCUCUCACUGCUAGUCUAUCUGUCUUUCAAUUUGUAGUCCUUCAAACUGAUGUAUUUGGAGGACUGAAGACCUCCAUUAACUCACACACACACACACACACACACACACACACACACACACACACACACACACACACACACACACACACACACACACACACACACACACACACACACACACACACGUAA